Long non-coding RNA from Carassius gibelio (silver crucian carp), 3296 nucleotides. RefSeq lists it as uncharacterized. The record is from RefSeq and is a predicted model, not a curated record. The transcript has 3 exons. NCBI's taxonomy places the organism in Eukaryota, Metazoa, Chordata, Actinopteri, Cypriniformes, Cyprinidae.
GUAUAUACUCUGUGUUGUCAUCUCAAGACCGUCACGUAGAGUCAUACAAGCUAGGCAUUAUGUCUUCUAAUUUCACCUUUGUGUGCUGAUUAUAGGCCUAUGCUGAUUGUUGAUGUCUAGAGCUGGAUGGCAAACAGAUGAUAUCAUGCAGGUUUAUAUAUCACAUUCAAUGAUGCUAAAGCACACAUAUUGUACAUUGACAACUAUUGAAGCUGGAAGUUAAGACAGAAAAUGGCUGUAAAAGAGAGUUACACUCAAUAAUAGCCAAUAAAUGCCAAAUUAUGGGUCUAUGGAUGUGCAGUUCAGUGGUGAAAUAAGUUUUGAUGUUACAUUUAGUCAUUAAGCAGAUGCUUUUAUCCAAAAAGACUUACAAAUGAGGACAAUGGAAGCAAUCAAAAUCAACAAAAGAGCAAUGAUAUACAAGUCUCAGUUAGCUUUACAUAGCACACGUAACGUACACAAGUAACACGUACGUCUUUUUUGAAAUUAUAUAAUAAAUAAAAAGAAAACAGAAUAGAAAAAGAAUAGAGCACACUUGUGUUAGAGGCCUAUAAUAAAUGAAAGAAAAGGAACAGAUAGGGUUACAAAAGACAAAAGGAAAGCAAAAAAAGAAUAGAGAGGCAAGUGUUAGUUUUUUUUUUAAACAAGCAGUUAGAAAAUGAAUGUGAGUGCAAGUCUAAAAGGGGCAAUUUUUUUUUAAAGAAUAGAAUUAGAAUAGAGAGUGCUAUAGAGUUAGAAGGUCAAAUCAAGAUGGACGAGAUGUAUUUUAGUCAUUUCUUGAAGAUGGCUAAGGUCUCAGCUCCUCUGACUGAGUUGGGCAGGUCACUCCACCAGGAGGGAAUCCGUAAAAGUGAUUUUGUGCCUCUUUGAGAUGAACACUAAAGUAACGUUCACUUGCAGAUCUUCUAGAGGCACAUGAUAAUAAUGUUACUGUGUGUAGCUAGACGUGUUAGUGUGUGUUGUGUGUUUGCAUGUUGUGCAGUGAGGUGAUGUAUGUUCUGGGGGUCUGAUAUUGGUGCGGAUGGUGGAGGAGUGUGUGUGGGUCUACGCCAUCACUGUCACACUGCUGUACGCCACUCUGACUGUACCAGGGGACGAGACUUGAUCUGGUCAGAUCAGUUUGAUCAAUUAACCCGACCCCCUCCUUUUAAAGGAACAUUAUGAAUGCAAAUCAAACAAUGCUGUAUCAUGUUGUCAACAAGCACAGAAAAAGCACAUCUCUUAUCCCACAGUUUGUGAAAGACGAGCAGAAAUCAUGUUUAUGGAAAUGUCCUUAUGGAAAUUUGGAACAGUUUAGAAAAUUUAUUUUUUAAGCCUUAACAUGUCAGAUAGUAAUCAGCAAGAAAUGCUUUCAUGUCCUUCUGUGUAAAAUAUGUUUAAUAGAAGGGUUGCUCACCAACAAAGCUGAUAUAAUGAAUCUUGCCUCUGUCCAAAAUCUGUAAGAGGUUGAAGAAUUAGCUUCAUGUUAUUGUGAGUCAGGUGACAGAAAACUAAAGAACAAUGAGAGGCAAUAUCGUCUGUCUGCUGGACGUGUGCAUAAACUAACGAUUAAAAUAUACUAUAAAUUAAAUACAAGAACAUGUCCUGUUGAACAAGUCCACUUUAUUAAAAUGGAUUGCUGUGCUGUGAUGUCAUGACAGGCAAAAAUGUGACCAAAUAUACUUUGGUUCCUACAGACAUUUUUUUUUUCUAUAUUUUAUUUGCAUGGUGUAAUGAUGCAGGUGUAACAGACAUGGCAGGUUCCAUCACCAACCAAUCACAGCGCACUCCAUCACCUGAGUACUAAUCACUCCCACCUGCUCCUCAUCCACCUGCAAUCAUCAGCUCACUUCAAAUACCACACACACACACACACACACACACACACCCACCCAGUCACCGUCCGAUCUCCUUUGCAACAAGGUCUAACCUGUGUGCUCACUCUAAGGACUGUCUCUCUACUUCCCUCUCUCCUGUCUCCUAGCCUUCAGAGAGACAGAGAGACAGAGAGAGAGAGAGUGUGUGUGUGUGUGUGUGUGUGUGUGUGUUACCUCCAGCGUCUUGAACCCUUCACCAACGGAUCCCCUUCAUCACUGCCUCCAGCACCAUUGCCUCAUCCUACACCACCUGCUCUUCUGCUUGUGCCUCAAUAAACUGAGUUUCUUAUACUUUCAGCCUCCUGUCCUGGUUAUCCGUAACAUUACGGCUGAUUUUUUCCUCGACAGAGCACUGGUGGAUUGCUCUCGGAGUUUAAGAUGGGUCUGAGGCUAUCCUAACUUCUCCAUGAUGACUUUUCAAGGAUUUGAAUGCAGGUGUGUUGGAGCUCCAGAAGCAGGAUUGGACGUCCUGUGAGAAAGGUCAAAGGGCAGGUUUUCUUCUGAUCAUUUAGAGCCGGAGCUCUCAUCUAGUAUUAAACACAUGCUCAGUGCAUCACAGACUGGUGAUAAUGUAAUGCUGAAGGUCUCUUGCAGGCUCAGGGUUGUUGAUGAUGCUCUUUGGCGGGCAGCUCCUGGCUCACAGACUCUUCAGAAGUAAUCUUGUGCAUCCGGCAGAUCUUCAGAUUCUCUGACACACUGUGGAACAUGUGCAGCGAUGACUUUUCUCCGUUUUUUUUUUACAUCAGUUUUGUUAUUCCUACACGGUAUUUUGCUGUGAAAGUGUCUGUUCGUGCUGAUGAAAUAAUUCCAGUAAACCAUGUUAUUUUGGUGGCCUUUUGUGACAUCCUAUGGUGAAAUCUCACAAGAGCCUGAUGGAUUUUGACUCGGAUGCAAAUUUUAUUACAUGCAAAUUUACAUCUGCUUCACUUACUGUAUGCAGCUAUGUCUUACAUGUUAAAUUGUUUGAAUUUAGAAGAUUUUGGACUGUUUAAAUCUGGUGCACUCUGUAUUAUUUUGGCCAUUUGAGACAUUUUGUGAAUCCUAAAUGAUCCUAUUGACAUAGGCCAAAAUCUGUAGUCUUCAGUUGCUAGUUUGACAUGUUCGCCGACUGCUGAUUAAUGACCAUUGAAUUUGACGAAGUUUUGAGGCGCAGUCCUGUAGUGUGGCAUCAUUUAUGACAACAUUAAAUCACGGCCAAUCAUGUUGACCCUUUCUGUAGUGUGACAGUGUCAAAUCUAAAUCUGUUUUCUCAAAUGUAUUAUCAUUUUCCAAAUCAUAGCGUUGACUGCAUUCCUCAGUCUCAACCCUCUUAACAAAGUUAAGAAGAAAAAUUAUUGAUCAUAAUUAAUGGCAAAUAUAAGUUCAUCAAUAACUACAAACAAACAUUUGUGCAAUUGCUUCAUUAAAUGAAAACUGCAAGCAUUAUUAAAUGUUUUAUUU